AUUGAACGCUGGCGGAAUGCUUUACACAUGCAAGUCGAGCGGCAGCGCGGCCUUCGGGCUGGCGGCGAGCGGCGAACGGGUGAGUAAUGCAUCGGAACAUGCCCAGUCGUGGGGGAUAACACUUCGAAAGAAGUGCUAAUACCGCAUACGUCCUGAGGGGGAAAGCGGGGGAUCGCAAGACCUCGCGCGAUUGGAGUGGCCGAUGUCAGAUUAGCUAGUUGGUGGGGUAAAGGCCUACCAAGGCGACGAUCUGUAGCUGGUCUGAGAGGAUGAUCAGCCACACUGGGACUGAGACACGGCCCAGACUCCUACGGGAGGCAGCAGUGGGGAAUUUUGGACAAUGGGGGCAACCCUGAUCCAGCCAUUCCGCGUGAGUGAAGAAGGCCUUCGGGUUGUAAAGCUCUUACGGCAGGAACGAAACGGUGGGCUCUAACAUAGUCCGCUAAUGACGGUACCUGAAGAAGAAGCACCGGCUAACUACGUG
This 484-nucleotide ribosomal RNA is filed under the name uncultured bacterium. RNAcentral's name for it is "partial 16S ribosomal RNA". It matches the Rfam family "Bacterial small subunit ribosomal RNA", at positions 29 to 507 of the family's 1533-position model. The record is from RNAcentral.